This 253-nucleotide ribosomal RNA is filed under the name uncultured bacterium. RNAcentral describes it as "partial 16S ribosomal RNA". It matches the Rfam family "Bacterial small subunit ribosomal RNA", at positions 524 to 776 of the family's 1533-position model. The record is from RNAcentral.
UACAGAGGGGGCAAGCGUUGUUCGGAAUUACUGGGCGUAAAGGGCGCGUAGGCGGCCACCUAAGUCAGACGUGAAAUCCCUCGGCUCAACCGGGGAACUGCGUCUGAUACUGGGCGGCUUGAAUUCGGGAGAGGAAUGCGGAAUUCCAGGUGUAGCGGUGAAAUGCGUAGAUAUCUGGAGGAACACCGGUGGCGAAGGCGGCAUCCUGGACCAACACUGACACUGAGGAGCGAAAGCCAGGGGAGCAAACGGG